GAUGAACGCUGGCGGCGUGCCUAAUACAUGCAAGUCGAGCGAACGGACGAGAAGCUUGCUUCUCUGAUGUUAGCGGCGGACGGGUGAGUAACACGUGGAUAACCUACCUAUAAGACUGGGAUAACUUCGGGAAACCGGAGCUAAUACCGGAUAAUAUUUUGAACCGCAUGGUUCAAAAGUGAAAGACGGUCUUGCUGUCACUUAUAGAUGGAUCCGCGCUGCAUUAGCUAGUUGGUAAGGUAACGGCUUACCAAGGCAACGAUGCAUAGCCGACCUGAGAGGGUGGUCGGCCACCCUGGAACUGGGACACGGUCCAGACUCCUACGGGAGGCAGCAGUAGGGAAUCUUCCGCAAUGGGCGAAAGCCUGACGGAACAACGCCGCGGUAGUUGUGAAGGUCUUCGGAUCGGAAAACCCUGUUUUUAGGGAAAAACAUAUGUGUAAGUAACUGUGCACAUCUUGACGGUACCUAAUCAGAAAGCCACGGCUAACUACGUG
This 497-nucleotide ribosomal RNA is filed under the name uncultured bacterium. Its description in RNAcentral is "partial 16S ribosomal RNA". It matches the Rfam family "Bacterial small subunit ribosomal RNA", at positions 28 to 507 of the family's 1533-position model. The record is from RNAcentral.